RNAcentral lists this ribosomal RNA (375 nucleotides) under uncultured bacterium. Its description in RNAcentral is "bacterial SSU rRNA". It matches the Rfam family "Bacterial small subunit ribosomal RNA", at positions 523 to 898 of the family's 1533-position model. The record is from RNAcentral.
AUACGAAGGGGGCUAGCGUUGUUCGGAAUUACUGGGCGUAAAGCGCGCGCAGGCGGUUUUCCAAGUCAGUGGUGAAAGCCCGGAGCUCAACUCCGGAACUGCCAUUGAAACUGUUAAACUUGAGGACGAGAGAGGUGAGUGGAAUUCCCAGUGUAGAGGUGAAAUUCGUAGAUAUUGGGAAGAACACCAGUGGCGAAGGCGGCUCACUGGCUCGUAUCUGACGCUCAGGCGCGAUAGCGUGGGGAUCAAACAGGAUUAGAUACCCUGGUAGUCCACGCCGUAAACGAUGAAUGCUAGCCGUUGGGUAGCUUGCUAUUCAGUGGCGCAGCUAACGCAUUAAGCAUUCCGCCUGGGGAGUACGGCCGCAAGGUUGAA